RNAcentral lists this ribosomal RNA (279 nucleotides) under uncultured bacterium. Its description in RNAcentral is "partial 16S ribosomal RNA". It matches the Rfam family "Bacterial small subunit ribosomal RNA", at positions 506 to 784 of the family's 1533-position model. The record is from RNAcentral.
UGCCAGCAGCCGCGGUAAGACGGGGGGUCCAAGCGUUAUUCGGAUUCACUGGGUUUAAAGGGUACGUAGGCGGCUAAGUAAGUCAAUGGUGAAAGCUAGCAGCUCAACUGUUAAGGUGCCAUUGAUACUGCUUGGCUUGAGUAUAGUCGGAGUAGGCGGAAUUGUUUGUGUAACGGUGAAAUGUUUAGAUAUAAACAGGAACUCCAUUCGCGAAGGCGGUUUACUAGGCUAUUACUGACGCUGAGGUACGAAAGCGUGGGGAGCAAACAGGAUUAGAGA